RNAcentral lists this transfer RNA (65 nucleotides) under Niphades castanea. RNAcentral's name for it is "tRNA-Ile". The record is from RNAcentral. Lineage: Eukaryota; Metazoa; Arthropoda; Insecta; Coleoptera; Curculionidae.
AAUAGAAUGCCUGAUUAAAGGAUUAUCUUGAUAGGAUAAAUCAUGUAGCCCCCCUACUUCUAUUA